CCUACGGGUGGCAGCAGUGGGGGAUAUUGCACAAUGGGGGAAACCCUGAUGCAGCGACGCCGCGUGGGUGAAGAAGCGCCUCGGCGCGUACAGCCCUGUCAGCAGGGAAGAAAAUGACGGUAACUGAAGAAGAAGCCACGGCUAACUACGUGCCAGCAGCCGCGGUAAUACGUAGGGGGCAAGCGUUAUCCGGAUUUACUGGGUGUAAAGGGGGCGCAGACGGCGAUGCAAGCCAUGCGUGAAAGCCCGGGGCCCCACCCCGGGACUGCUCUUGGAACUGCGUGGCUAGAGUGCAGGAGGGGCAGGCGGAAUUGCUGGUGUAGCGGUGAAAUGCGUAGAUAUCAGGAGGAACACCGGUGGCGAAGGCGGCCUGCUGGACUGCAACUGACGUUGAGGCCCGAAAGCGGGGGGAGCAAACAGGAUUAGAUACCCCUGUAGUC
This 440-nucleotide ribosomal RNA is filed under the name uncultured bacterium. Its description in RNAcentral is "partial 16S ribosomal RNA". It matches the Rfam family "Bacterial small subunit ribosomal RNA", at positions 338 to 795 of the family's 1533-position model. The record is from RNAcentral.